AUUGAACGCUGGCGGCAGGCCUAACACAUGCAAGUCGAGCGGCAGCGGGAAAGUAGCUUGCUACUUUUGCCGGCGAGCGGCGGACGGGUGAGUAAUGCCUGGGAAAUUGCCCAGUCGAGGGGGAUAACAGUUGGAAACGACUGCUAAUACCGCAUACGCCCUACGGGGGAAAGCAGGGGACCUUCGGGCCUUGCGCGAUUGGAUAUGCCCAGGUGGGAUCAGCUAGUUGGUGAGGUAAUGGCUCACCAAGGCGACGAUCCCUAGCUGGUCUGAGAGGAUGAUCAGCCACACUGGAACUGAGACACGGUCCAGACUCCUACGGGAGGCAGCAGUGGGGAAUAUUGCACAAUGGGGGAAACCCUGAUGCAGCCAUGCCGCGUGUGUGAAGAAGGCCUUUGGGUUGUAAAGCACUUUCAGCGAGGAGGAAAGGUUGAUGCCUAAUACGUAUCAACUGUGACGUUACUCGCAGAAGAAGCACCGGCUAACUCCGUGCCAGCAGCCGCAGUAA
Molecule: ribosomal RNA, 508 nt
Filed under: uncultured bacterium
Lineage: Bacteria
Description: partial 16S ribosomal RNA
Rfam family: Bacterial small subunit ribosomal RNA
Source: RNAcentral